GACGUAGGGCGCGAGCGUUGUCCGGAGUUAUUGGGCGUAAAGAGCUCGUAGGCGGCUUGUCGCGUCGACUGUGAAAACCCGCGGCUCAACUGCGGGCCUGCAGCCGAUACGGGCAGGCUAGAGUUCGGUAGGGGAGACUGGAAUUCCUGGUGUAGCGGUGAAAUGCGCAGAUAUCAGGAGGAACACCGAUGGCGAAGGCAGGUCUCUGGGCCAUAACUGACGCUGAGAAGCGAAAGCAUGGGGAGCGAACAGG
RNAcentral lists this ribosomal RNA (253 nucleotides) under uncultured bacterium. Its description in RNAcentral is "partial 16S ribosomal RNA". It matches the Rfam family "Bacterial small subunit ribosomal RNA", at positions 524 to 776 of the family's 1533-position model. The record is from RNAcentral.